CAAGUCGAGGGGCAGCGGGAGUAGCAAUACUUGCCGGCGACCGGCGCACGGGUGCGUAACACGUAUACAAUCUACCUUUAACUGGGGAAUAGCCCGGAGAAAUCCGGAUUAAUACCCCAUAACAGCAGAAUCGGCAUCGAUUUGUUUGAAAACUACGGUGGUUAAAGAUGAGUAUGCGCCUGAUUAGUUUGUUGGUGAGGUAACGGCUCACCAAGACUACGAUCAGUAGGGGAUCUGAGAGGAUUAACCCCCACACGGAUACUGAGACACGGAUCCGACUCC
This 282-nucleotide ribosomal RNA is filed under the name uncultured bacterium. RNAcentral describes it as "partial 16S ribosomal RNA". It matches the Rfam family "Bacterial small subunit ribosomal RNA", at positions 58 to 339 of the family's 1533-position model. The record is from RNAcentral.